AGAGAGUAGACCGCCAACCCCGAUUUAUCGGGCGGUAAGGGUGAAAGGGUGCGGUAAGAGCGCACCGCGUGCGUGGUAACACGUUACGGCUUGGUAAACCCCACCUGGAGCAAGACCAAAUAGGAACCCAUUAGGUGCUGCCCGCACUGGGUUCGGGUAGGUCGCAAGAGGUCUGUGGCGACGCAGACCCUAGAUGAAUGACUGUCCACGACAGAACCCGGCUUAUGUGGCGGGCUUUCUC
RNAcentral lists this RNase P RNA (241 nucleotides) under Oceanospirillaceae bacterium. Its description in RNAcentral is "partial RNase P RNA component class A". It matches the Rfam family "Bacterial RNase P class A", at positions 116 to 367 of the family's 367-position model. From Rfam's summary of the family: Ribonuclease P (RNase P) is a ubiquitous endoribonuclease, found in archaea, bacteria and eukarya as well as chloroplasts and mitochondria. Its best characterised activity is the generation of mature 5'-ends of tRNAs by cleaving the 5'-leader elements of precursor-tRNAs. The record is from RNAcentral. Lineage: Bacteria; Pseudomonadati; Pseudomonadota; Gammaproteobacteria; Oceanospirillales; Oceanospirillaceae.